Molecule: ribosomal RNA, 375 nt
Filed under: uncultured bacterium
Lineage: Bacteria
Description: bacterial SSU rRNA
Rfam family: Bacterial small subunit ribosomal RNA
Source: RNAcentral
UACGUAGGUGGCGAGCGUUGUCCGGAAUUACUGGGUGUAAAGGGCGAGUAGGCGGGUAGGCAAGUCAGAUGUGAAAUACCGAGGCUUAACUUCGGGGCUGCAUUUGAAACUGUAUAUCUUGAGUGAUGGAGAGGCAGGCGGAAUUCCCGGUGUAGCGGUGAAAUGCAUAGAGAUCGGGAGGAACACCAGUGGCGAAGGCGGCCUGCUGGACAUUAACUGACGCUGAGGCGCGAGAGUGUGGGGAGCAAACAGGAUUAGAUACCCUGGUAGUCCACACUGUAAACGAUGGAUACUAGGUGUGGGGGGACUGACCCCUUCCGUGCCGGAGUUAACACAAUAAGUAUCCCACCUGGGGAGUACGAUCGCAAGAUUGAA